This 103-nucleotide small nuclear RNA is filed under the name Triticum aestivum (bread wheat). The record is from RNAcentral. RNAcentral also lists the same sequence under 1 other name. Lineage: Eukaryota; Viridiplantae; Streptophyta; Magnoliopsida; Poales; Poaceae.
GUCCCUUCGCGGACAUCCGAUAAAAUUGGAAUGAUACAGAGAAGAUUAGCAUGGCCCCUGCGCAAGGAUGACACCCACAAAUCGAGAAAUGGUCCAAUUUUUU